UGCCAGCCGCCGCGGUAAUACGGAGGGGGUUAGCGUUGUUCGGAAUUACUGGGCGUAAAGCGCGCGUAGGCGGACUCGCAAGUCGGUUGUGAAAUCCCUGGGCUCAACCUAGGAACUGCAUCCGAAACUGCUUGUCUUGAGUAAUGGAGAGGGUGGCGGAAUUCCCGGUGUAGAGGUGAAAUUCGUAGAUAUCGGGAGGAACAUCAGUGGCGAAGGCGGCCACCUGGACAUGUACUGACGCUGAGAUGCGAAAGCGUGGGGAGCAAACAGGAUUAGCUA
Molecule: ribosomal RNA, 279 nt
Filed under: uncultured bacterium
Lineage: Bacteria
Description: partial 16S ribosomal RNA
Rfam family: Bacterial small subunit ribosomal RNA
Source: RNAcentral